This is a non-coding RNA of Kogia breviceps (pygmy sperm whale), 4009 nucleotides long. NCBI's taxonomy places the organism in Eukaryota, Metazoa, Chordata, Mammalia, Artiodactyla, Physeteridae. The record is from RefSeq and is a predicted model, not a curated record.
AGCGUGCUGGGCUGCUGCCCCGGCGGGACCAGGACGCGGCGGCUGCCGCACAGCGGCGACCACAGGCCGAACUCUCGGCGCUCUCGGAGGCUGGCUGGCGAUUGGUCCAGAGAGGAGGGGGUGGUGGCAGCCCAAGUCAGCCGCUGCAGUGGCGGCGUCAGGUGAGAGCGCGAGCCGCAGAGACCGGGCGUGGCGGCUGCCGCACAGGGAGUCGGAGCCAAACUGACGGACGCGGCCCUGGGAGUCCCGGGAGGAAGGGGCGAGGAAGCACUUGCAGAGGAGACCUCGGAGCAGAAGGGCGCCGGCGCCGAGCAGCCCCGAAGUUGUCUCUGUCGAGUCGCGCCGAGCCUGGGCAUGCAAGCGACGCCACCGGGGGUCCGGUCGCCCCUCAGGAGCCCGCCGAGCGCGCGCUUGCGGCCGGACGAGGGCGGGCGAGGGUGCCGAGCCGCGAGCGAACGCAGCAAAAUGAGCGGCGAGGGCGACUACAACUUCAGACGGGUGGCGAUCCGGCGGAAGUCCAACCCCUCCUACCUGCCGCCUGGGACCCCCCGGCCGUGGAGUCGGCCCUCGUCGCACCUGCAAUGGGCCGAGACGGCCACGUUCAGGGGCCAGGCCCCCGCAGACGCCCCAGGCAGCAGUACCUGUCCAAAGAUCACUAUAGUUUCACCUUGCUUGAAAAGCAGCACAACCACACUGAUUGAUCAGAAUGUAUCUGAUGAAGAGGCUCAGGGAAUAAAUGGGAAAACUCCAGCAAAACACUCAGCUGCAAGUCCAAAGCCACAAGUGCCUCCAAAGCCACUACACCUGCAGAAUUCACCUUCGUCCAAUAUACACCAAACCCCCAGGCAUAAAGCUUUAUCUAGUGCAAAACCAAGGAUGGAGGAAGUUAAACCUGCCUCUGCUUCUUGUAUCUCGAAAGAAAAACCCAGUAAGAUAUCAGAUCUCAUCAGUCGCUUUGAAGGAGGCAGCUCGUUAUCAAAUUACAGUGGUUUGAAAAAAGAUUCUGCUGUGAACCUAAAUGCGCCUAGAACCCCAGGAAGGCAUGGAUUGACAACCACACCUCAGCAAAAACUCCUCUCCCAACAGUCACCACAGAAGCAGGGAAAAGAUACAGAUCAAUCUCAGGGUGCACAGACUUGUGUGGCUAACGGUAUGGUAGCAGCACAAAACCAGAUGGAAUGUGAGGAGGAAAAAGCGGCCAGUCUUAGCCCAGAUACUCCUAUUCAAACUUCUGAACCCUUGCCCAAUACAAACUUAGUGAAUGGAGAAAGACAGGAAACGGCCACAGACUCUGCAUCCCCCACAACAAAUGACUGUGAUGAAAAUGCUUCUGACAGUAGCUGCAGGACUUUACAUGUCGGCCCAGGGCUCCCCCUGGAAGAAGGAAGGGCAGACACAGAAGCCAAGGUACAAGAGAGGGAAGAUGGAGAAAGCCCCCUAGAACUGGAACAGCUGGACCAGCACCAUGAGAUGAAGGAGACUAAUGAGCAAAAACUUCACAAAAUAGCCAAUGAACUUUUGCUUACAGAAAGAGCUUAUGUCAGCCGACUUGACCUCUUAGAUCAGGUAUUUUACUGCAAACUACUGGAAGAAGCAAAUCGCGGCUCAUUUCCAGCAGAGAUGGUGAAUAAAAUCUUUUCUAAUAUUUCAUCAAUAAAUGCCUUCCAUAGUAAAUUCCUAUUGCCAGAGCUGGAGAAAAGAAUGCAAGAAUGGGAAACUACCCCUAGAAUUGGUGACAUCCUUCAGAAAUUGGCCCCAUUCCUUAAGAUGUAUGGAGAAUAUGUGAAGGGAUUUGAUAACGCAAUGGAAUUGGUUAAAAACAUGACAGAGCGUAUUCCCCAGUUCAAAUCAAUAAUUGAAGAAAUUCAGAAACAGAAGAUCUGUGGGAGCUUGACUUUGCAGCAUCACAUGCUAGAACCUGUUCAGCGGAUCCCCCGGUACGAGAUGCUCCUUAAGGACUACCUAAGGAAAUUGCCCCCUGGUUCUCCGGACUGGAAUGAUGCUAAAAAAUCACUUGAAAUUAUAUCUACAGCAGCAAGUCAUUCUAAUAGUGCAAUAAGAAAAAUGGAGAACCUAAAGAAACUCUUAGAGAUUUAUGAAAUGUUGGGAGAAGAAGAAGACAUUGUAAAUCCUUCAAAUGAACUAAUAAAAGAAGGACAGAUCCUCAAACUAGCUGCUCGGAACACAUCGGCACAAGAACGCUACCUUUUCUUAUUCAACAACAUGUUGCUAUACUGCGUGCCAAGAUUCAGCUUGGUGGGCUCUAAAUUCACAGUUCGAACCAGGGUUGGCAUUGAUGGAAUGAAAAUUGUAGAGACUCACAAUGAGGAAUAUCCACACACUUUCCAGAUAUCUGGGAAAGAGAGAACACUGGAACUGCAAGCCAGUUCUGAGCAAGACAAAGAAGAAUGGAUCAAGGCACUUCAAGAGACUAUUGAUGCUUUCCAUCAGAGGCAUGAAACCUUCAGAAAUGCAAUUGCCAAGGAUAAUGACAUUCACUCAGAGGUUUCUACUGCUGAGCUAGGAAAAAGAGCCCCAAGAUGGAUCCGAGAUAAUGAAGUUACAAUGUGUAUGAAAUGCAAGGAGUCUUUUAAUGCCCUGACAAGGAGAAGGCAUCAUUGUCGAGCAUGUGGACAUGUGGUUUGUUGGAAGUGUUCUGAUUAUAAAGCUCAACUUGAGUAUGAUGGUGGUAAAUUGAGCAAAGUUUGUAAAGACUGUUAUCAGAUAAUAAGUGGAUUCACAGACAGUGAAGAAAAGAAAAGAAAAGGAAUUUUAGAGAUUGAAUCUGCAGAAGUAUCUGGAAACAGUGUGGUAUGCAGUUUUCUUCAAUAUAUGGAAAAGUCAAAACCUUGGCAGAAAGCUUGGUGUGUGAUCCCCAAACAAGACCCUCUUGCACUGUACAUGUAUGGUGCCCCCCAGGAUGUCAGAGCCCAGGCCACCAUUCCACUCCUGGGCUACAUUGUGGAUGAUAUGCCGAGAAGUACAGACCUGCCACACAGUUUCAAACUGACCCAGUCCAAGUCUGUGCACAGCUUUGCUGCAGACAGUGAAGAACUGAAACAGAAGUGGCUGAAAAUCAUCCUUUUAGCUGUCACAGAAAUAUUAGUAUUAGAAGAGAAUUUCUGCUUAUCCAGUCACCAUCUUCACAUUCCCUGUGUUCUUGCCAAGCAGAAAGAGAAGCAGUGAAGCAGCCUUACCUGUUGCUUAUUAAAGAAUCACGAAUGCUUUUACUUGGAGAAAGGCAAAGGAAUACUCUUAGCCAUUUAGAAAUACUCAACCAAAAGACCUCAAAAUGUGAUUGGCUGGUUACAAGAAUAAUCUGUCUUUUGCUUUCUGAGACACCUGAGCAGUCAUGACAAAUUGAACCUAGAAAAAUAAUUGGUUGUUUUACUAUUAAAACCAACAUUCCAUUCUGGUCAUAUUCUUCAUUUUCUCUAAAUCAUCUUUUCUUUAAAGUGCUCUUUCUCCAAACUUAACAAAAUACUUCUUUGAUAAAAACUGCUAUUUUUUAUAAAACAUUCCAGUGUUUUCAACAUAAAUUUUGCUUUAUUGAAAGUCUACCAAUGAAAUGUAGUGCAGACUUAUCUCCAGGUUUUAAGUGGGACCCAGUAAUGAAAAAUGCCACCAGCCACUUUUGUAAUAAUGGCAUCUAUAAUGCCAUCAUGUAUGCAAGCAAUAAAGCUCUACAGGGUAGGUUUUACACUGAACUUUUAAUGUGAACGUUCCUAGCCACAAGGAUAUAGAGAAUUAACUCCUAGGAUUGAUACUGUGAUUCAAAUUGCUUAGUAUAGGGAAAAGAACGUAUGUGUGGCGGGGAGGUGGGGGAGGGACAACAUUAUACCUUGGAUUCAACCAUCAAAAGCCUUUUUAUUUUAUUUAAAAAAAUUUUUUUUAAAGCUUUUUUUUUUUUUUUGCAAAGGGUAUGUAUGGGUGGUUAAAAACAGUUAAAGUACAUCUGCACUACUUUAUCAAGUUACAUUUCAUUUUCCAUAAAGUUUAAUAUAGCUUG